CGAAGGGGGCUAGCGUUGCUCGGAAUUACUGGGCGUAAAGCGCACGUAGGCGGCUUUCUAAGUCGGGGGUGAAAUCCUGGAGCUCAACUCCAGAACUGCCUUCGAUACUGGAAAGCUCGAGUCCGGGAGAGGUGAGUGGAACUGCGAGUGUAGAGGUGAAAUUCGUAGAUAUUCGCAAGAACACCAGUGGCGAAGGCGGCUCACUGGCCCGGUACUGACGCUGAGGUGCGAAAGCGUGGGGAGCAAACAGG
This 251-nucleotide ribosomal RNA is filed under the name uncultured bacterium. RNAcentral describes it as "partial 16S ribosomal RNA". It matches the Rfam family "Bacterial small subunit ribosomal RNA", at positions 526 to 776 of the family's 1533-position model. The record is from RNAcentral.